UUUCCCGUGCCCAGGCCAUGCUGGGUGUGCUUAGAGGUGGGCCUAAACUUCCCCAUGGAUUUUCUGUUUGGAGGAGAGCAGGAGAGCAGGACAUGUGCCACCUCCUCAGCAGCUGCCAGAGCAGAAUGCCCAUGAGCUGCUGCUGUCUCCCAGCACUGGUAUUGCUCCCGAGGCCAGAGAUGAGGAUCCACCUUCAGAGAGCCAUGGUGGGAACAAGAUCUGACCCCAGAUAUCUCCUGGCCCCUCCUGAACGGGUGCUUCCCCAUGACCAGGUGGUGCAGCAGGAGGCCCAGGGAUCAGAUCGUCGCUGCCUCGCUGUGGUAGCAUUGCUGGUGGAUCCACUCUGGUGGGCUGUACGACAGGGUUCCUGUGGAACACAGACACAGUUCAUCAGGGGGAUGCUGCAGCCUCCAGCACCUGGAGGAGCAGCCCCCGCGCCUCCUCCUCCGGCAGGAACCCCCGCUCCGCCAGGAAACCCGACAGGUCCUGGCACCGCUCCGGAUGCUCCAGCACCAGCACAAAGCUGUCGGGGAGCUGAAGCUGUUAAAAAUAAGGGCCAGGAGACCUUGUGCUCCUUUCUUGACAGGCCUUUAUUUAAUAGGAAAGCCUAUGGGGGUGGGGGUGCGGGGUUCGCGACGCCGCCGCUGCUCCCAGACGAGUCGACGUCCCAGAGGAGGGGUCAGCGAGCCUGUCGAUUUCGGCAGGGUCGGAGUCUGCGCCCUCACGGGAUACGUCCCGAGACUCGUUCUGCUGCUCGUUGGUCUAGGGGUUUUCUGUGCGCUGUCUCCCUCGAGAUUACAGCAACCAGUUUCGGUGAUUCUAAGGGUCUUCCCCAGCUUUCUGAAGUUUUCCUGACAUGCAGGUAUAAGUCUUUUUAUUGUCCCGGUUGUUGGCUCGUUGUCUCAGUCCGUUUUGGUUUGCGCGGGAAUCUAGUAAUUAAUAGUCUGUGCUCGCUCGGCCUUCUGGGAAUCGGGAAGUCCCCCUCUGGGAGCAAGUCUCUGGGAGCAGCCUCGGAAUUACCCGACGCAGUGGAAGGGACAAGGGGCUUCAAACUAUUAAAAGCAGGGAAACUAACAGGUAUGAUUUCUUAUAUAAGGAGUUUUAACAAGGCACUUAUAACAAGAGGGGGUACAGAGACUUAGGGAAUUAACGGGGGACACAUUCUGGGUAUAAGGAUAGAUACAUAUAGGGGUGGAAUUAACAAUGGUAUGCAUCAGG
RNAcentral lists this long non-coding RNA (1218 nucleotides) under Lonchura striata (white-rumped munia). Its description in RNAcentral is "domestica (Bengalese finch) lncRNA (ENSLSDG00000001045.1)". The record is from RNAcentral. Lineage: Eukaryota; Metazoa; Chordata; Aves; Passeriformes; Estrildidae.